This is a transfer RNA of Tilletiaria anomala, 105 nucleotides long. It matches the Rfam family "tRNA". Rfam says of the family: Transfer RNA (tRNA) molecules are approximately 80 nucleotides in length. NCBI's taxonomy places the organism in Eukaryota, Fungi, Basidiomycota, Exobasidiomycetes, Georgefischeriales, Tilletiariaceae. The record is from Rfam.
GGCGAUUUAGCGAAGCGGUCAAACGUGCUGUGUUCAGGUGUUAACCACUCGGUUAUGCCCAUUCGCAGUCCUUCGGGUUCGUGGGUUCGAAUCCCACAGUCGUCA